Berkelbacteria bacterium GW2011_GWA2_46_7 is the source of this 82-nucleotide non-coding RNA. NCBI's taxonomy places the organism in Bacteria, Candidatus Berkelbacteria. The record is from Rfam.
GGUGGGUUGGCAGAAUGGCAAUGCCGUGGUCCUGAAAACCCCCGGGAGUAAUCCCUUGUAGGUUCGAGUCCUACACCCACCG